AUUGAACGCUGGCGGAAUGCUUUACACAUGCAAGUCGAACGGCAGCACGGACUCCGGUCUGGUGGCGAGUGGCGAACGGGUGAGUAAUACAUCGGAACGUGCCCAGUCGUGGGGGAUAACGUAGCGAAAGCUACGCUAAUACCGCAUGCGAUCUACGAAUGAAAGCGGGGGAUCGCAAGACCUCGCGCGAUUGGAGCGGCCGAUGGCAGAUUAGGUAGUUGGUAGGGUAAAGGCCUACCAAGCCGACGAUCUGUAGCUGGUCUGAGAGGACGACCAGCCACACUGGGACUGAGACACGGCCCAGACUCCUACGGGAGGCAGCAGUGGGGAAUUUUGGACAAUGGACGCAAGUCUGAUCCAGCCAUUCCGCGUGCAGGAUGAAGGCCCUCGGGUUGUAGACUGCUUUUGUACAGAACGAAAAGGCUCUGGUUAAUACCUGGAGCUCAUGACGGUACUGUAAGAAUAAGCACCGGCUAACUACGUGCCAGCAGCCGCAGUAA
Molecule: ribosomal RNA, 500 nt
Filed under: uncultured bacterium
Lineage: Bacteria
Description: partial 16S ribosomal RNA
Rfam family: Bacterial small subunit ribosomal RNA
Source: RNAcentral